Molecule: long non-coding RNA, 284 nt
Organism: Hyalella azteca
Lineage: Eukaryota; Metazoa; Arthropoda; Malacostraca; Amphipoda; Hyalellidae
Exons: 3
Source: RefSeq, a predicted model, not a curated record
UCUAAUCACCAUUCCUCGCGAUCACAACGAUGCUCUUCCUGGCAACGAAUUCAAAAUCGCAUGGUCUUCAUCCCGUGCAUCCGCGUCGCUUCAGUCAUUGCGCACAGUCACUGUGCUGGAUUCGACGGUGGUUGACAUCCUCAAGCGGCUACAAGACAUUCUCGCCGCCUCGGCCAUAACGGUGACCGGGGAGGCGGCUCAAGAUUGUUCCUUUCUCGUGAAUUUGGCGUGGCGGCAGGAAGCCAAAUUCCAGGAAUUUUAUUCCUUGGAGGCAUCCAUUAAAC